GGAAGAGAAAGAAUGCGGGUAAAACGCUAUGCAAGAUACCUACAUUGUACAACAUUACUGUAAAGUCGCCUGAACUUACAUAUCAGCCAGCAAUAUCUGUUUGUACUCUACCAGCUCUUCUAUUCUUUUUUCUGUAUUAAGUCAGAAACAACACUCCAUCACUUGCAAAAAUGAUGAUACCUCUAACGGCGAUAGCCUGAAGAUGGUGGCCCUCUAUCGUUUCUUCUUCCUAAAGCCGAGAAGUGAUUGCUGGAGGGACGUGGGUUGCCAUAACCCCGACCAGCAUUUUGGUUUACUUGCGGAGCCCAUACACCAUCCUGUGGGUUAUAGGGUCCUGGCUCAUAAGGUGGGUGAUAGCAUACUGGCUCAUAAGGUGGGUGAUAGC
RNAcentral lists this unclassified non-coding RNA (385 nucleotides) under Hevea brasiliensis (rubber tree). The record is from RNAcentral. Lineage: Eukaryota; Viridiplantae; Streptophyta; Magnoliopsida; Malpighiales; Euphorbiaceae.